Antechinus flavipes (yellow-footed antechinus) is the source of this 1961-nucleotide long non-coding RNA. RefSeq lists it as uncharacterized. The transcript is spliced from 3 exons. The record is from RefSeq and is a predicted model, not a curated record. Lineage: Eukaryota; Metazoa; Chordata; Mammalia; Dasyuromorphia; Dasyuridae.
CAGAACAAGACAGAGUGGAUCCUCAGCAUGAGCAAAACUCUGCCAUCUUCAGAUGAAGCACCAUGUCAGCUGGGAUACAUGGAAGACCUCAUCACCCACGAUGAAUUCCCCUCCAACUUGGACGCUAAGCUGGAUCUCUUCCAUCAAAGUGGCCUCCAGAAUGGAAGCCAGUCUGCUCGCUGUUCCCUGUGAAUGGAGUUCCACUCUCCAGACCUCUGCGCCUCUCCCCGGAACCAGAAUGCUUCACUCCCGACGGGCGCCCCUCGGACCCCUUAGCUCCUUUCGGGCCUGAGCGUACAUUUCUCAUCCCCUUGAGUUGUUCUGCAUCUAAAAUUAUCUAGUUAUUCUUGGUGGCUUGUCUUCGGACAUCCUCCCGCCCCCUCCUAGAAGGCGGAGAUCGCUUUGCUUUGACCAUCGUGUCUCUCAGUUCUUAGAGCACAUUGAAUAAUGGGAUGGAAUCGUGCCUUUUCUGGGGAGUGACAGGAGGGCCACCCUGAACCUCACGCACGGUGACUCUGUGCGCUUGAGGGGAAGGGGUUCGCCGUCCACAUCCGCAGGGAGCUCGACAAGAGCCUGCAGCGAAACCGUUGGGGAGGGGAGGUUCCAAGGACCACGUGGAGGCUAGACUGGGACUGAACGUAGUCAGUGUAACCUCGGGGGGGGGGUGCCAGUUGGCUAAAGCUCCGUGCUGAGGAGUGCUGAGUGUCGGGCAGGAGUCGGGGCUGCCCCAAGUCACCCAGACCCUGCCUCCUUCUGAGCCCCCAAACACUUUCUCAUUCUGCUCACAGCUAAGUUAGAGAACUUGCUCUCCCUGCCUAGUCUGGGCCAGGAGAAGCUCCCUCCCCUAGCAUGGGUCCCUGAGCCUUCUCACGGCCGAGCAGGAAGGCUGGGACUCUGACCAGGCCCCCCGGGUUAGGGGAGUCCGACCCCCCGAUUUUAGAGGUGGGGGGAUAGGCUUAGAGAAGGGAAGCAACUUCGAUCCAGGCCAUACAGAAAGUUGUGACAGACUGGGAAUGAAAAACAAGGUCCUUUGGUUAAAUGCCAGACGGAGGAGCUUACAUUUGAUCCUGGAGGUAAUAGGUAUUUACCGCCUCUGAACCCUUUGCAGAUUUGAAGUCUGGGCUAUAAGAGGGCUGUACAAUCCUGAAAAUGCAAUAACUAGGGGUGUUCCUGUUGUUUCUCUCCUCCACGGAGCUUUGCACACAGUAGGAACUUCAUAAAUAAUGGUGGAAUAAAUGAAUUUGCACUUUUCAAACACAGGUUUUAAUCUCCCACACUGGUGAGUUCUUAGCCCCUCAAGCUCACAAAGCACUCAGAGAGGCCCAGAAAGCACUCUCUCUUCUCUGCUAGAGUCUAAUUCCCCAAUCCUCUUAGCUCAAGAUAUUGCAUCUUUCAUUUUAUCAAUUAUAGAAGGUACGAUUCUGGGCAGGAUCCAAGUGGAGGCUGCGGUUGCUACGGCCUCGUUACUCAGUUCCUCCCCAAACUUCCUCUCUGUUAUAAGGGGAUUCUGAUCAAAUCAGAAGCUAUGUGCGAGGUGGCCACGUUGGCCUGUCAGGCCAUCUCUCUUCCUGUCCCCGUCCUUCAGCCCCGGCCCAAGGUCUUCGAUCCCUCUAGAGCUCUGAUUUCCCUGCCAGUCACAGGUAUUUCUAAUCUAGAGAGCCCAGGCUGCUCAGCAUCCCUCCUCCUGCCAUGGCCGGCAGAUAAUUUUAGCCGUAGCCCCGACCCCUCUCCGCCUGCUUGUAUCCGUGUCUGUCCAGGGAGUGAGAUCCGGGCGUCUCUCGUGCUCUGAGGUCCCCCUUUGUUCUUCCCUCCACAUUUCUCUGGAGGUCUCCAGGUGGGUGCCCCUCAUGUGAAUAAAGCAUCUCAGAGAGUGCGAGCCUCGCCGGCUCCUCUGUCAUUCACGGGAAACCGCCCACAGCUCUCCAGCCCCUCGUCUUCCUUUAGCCCAGAACAUGGUGAGU